This 442-nucleotide ribosomal RNA is filed under the name uncultured bacterium. Its description in RNAcentral is "partial 16S ribosomal RNA". It matches the Rfam family "Bacterial small subunit ribosomal RNA", at positions 338 to 795 of the family's 1533-position model. The record is from RNAcentral.
CCUACGGGCGGCAGCAGUGGGGGAUAUUGCACAAUGGGGGGAACCCUGAUGCAGCGACGCCGCGUGGGUGAAGGAGCGUUUCGGCGCGUAAAGCCCUAUCGGCAGGGAAGAAGGAGGACGGUACCUGACUAAGAAGCCCCGGCUAACUACGUGCCAGCAGCCGCGGUAAUACGUAGGGGGCAAGCCUUAUCCGGAUUUAUUGGGUUGAAAGGGUGGGUAGGGUGGGAGGUAAGUCAGCGGGGAAAUGCCACGGGCCAACGGGGUGAAGUGCCAUUGAUACUGGCUGGCUGGAGUGCGGAUGCGGUGGGAGGAAUGUGUGGUGUAGCGGUGAAAUGCAUAGAUAUCACACAGAACACCGAUUGCGAAGGCAUCUCACGAAACCGCGAUUGACGCUGAUGCACGAAAGCGUGGGUAGCAAACAGGAUUAGAUACCCGAGUAGUC